RNAcentral lists this ribosomal RNA (289 nucleotides) under Clostridium beijerinckii. RNAcentral describes it as "partial 16S ribosomal RNA". It matches the Rfam family "Bacterial small subunit ribosomal RNA", at positions 1 to 289 of the family's 1533-position model. The record is from RNAcentral. Lineage: Bacteria; Bacillati; Bacillota; Clostridia; Eubacteriales; Clostridiaceae.
UUUAUUGAGAGUUUGAUCCUGGCUCAGGACGAACGCUGGCGGCGUGCUUAACACAUGCAAGUCGAGCGAUGAAGCUCCUUCGGGAGUGGAUUAGCGGCGGACGGGUGAGUAACACGUGGGUAACCUGCCUCAUAGAGGGGAAUAGCCUUUCGAAAGGAAGAUUAAUACCGCAUAAGAUUGUAGUGCCGCAUGGCAUAGCAAUUAAAGGAGUAAUCCGCUAUGAGAUGGACCCGCGUCGCAUUAGCUAGUUGGUGAGGUAACGGCUCACCAAGGCGACGAUGCGUAGCCG